UGCCAAUCAUGCAAGUCGAGCGAACUGAUUAGAAGCUUGCUUCUAUGACGUUAGCGGCGGACGGGUGAGUAACACGUGGGCAACCUGCCUGUAAGACUGGGAUAACUUCGGGAAACCGAAGCUAAUACCGGAUAGGAUCUUCUCCUUCAUGGGAGAUGAUUGAAAGAUGGUUUCGGCUAUCACUUACAGAUGGGCCCGCGGUGCAUUAGCUAGUUGGUGAGGUAACGGCUCACCAAGGCAACGAUGCAUAGCCGACCUGAGAGGGUGAUCGGCCACACUGGGACUGAGACACGGCCCAGACUCCUACGGGAGGCAGCAGUAGGGAAUCUUCCGCAAUGGACGAAAGUCUGACGGAGCAACGCCGCGUGAGUGAUGAAGGCUUUCGGGUCGUAAAACUCUGUUGUUAGGGAAGAACAAGUACGAGAGUAACUGCUCGUACCUUGACGGUACCUAACCAGAAAGCCACGGCUAACUACGUGCCAGCAGCCGCGGUAAUACGUAGGUGGCAAGCGUUAUCCGGAAUUAUUGGGCGUAAAGCGCGCGCAGGCGGUUUCUUAAGUCUGAUGUGAAAGCCCACGGCUCAACCGUGGAGGGUCAUUGGAAACUGGGGAACUUGAGUGCAGAAGAGAAAAGCGGAAUUCCACGUGUAGCGGUGAAAUGCGUAGAGAUGUGGAGGAACACCAGUGGCGAAGGCGGCUUUUUGGUCUGUAACUGACGCUGAGGCGCGAAAGCGUGGGGAGCAAACAGGAUUAGAUACCCUGGUAGUCCACGCCGUAAACGAUGAGUGCUAAGUGUUAGAGGGUUUCCGCCCUUUAGUGCUGCAGCUAACGCAUUAAGCACUCCGCCUGGGGAGUACGGUCGCAAGACUGAAACUCAAAGGAAUUGACGGGGGCCCGCACAAGCGGUGGAGCAUGUGGUUUAAAUUCGAAGCAACGCGAAGAAACCUUACCAGGUCUUGACAUCCUCUGACAACUCUAGAGAUAGAGCGUUCCCCUUCGGGGGACAGAGUGACAGGUGGUGCAUGGUUGUCGUCAGCUCGUGUCGUGAGAAUGGUGGGUUAAGUCCCGCACGAGCGCACCUUUGAUCUUAGUGCAGCAUUCAGUUUGGCCACUCUAAGUGACUGCGGUGACAACGUAGAAGUUAGGAAUGACGUCCAAAUCAUCUGAUGGCCCGCCUUAGUAGAAC
Molecule: ribosomal RNA, 1185 nt
Filed under: Bacillus sp. (in: firmicutes)
Lineage: Bacteria; Bacillati; Bacillota; Bacilli; Caryophanales; Bacillaceae
Description: bacterial SSU rRNA
Rfam family: Bacterial small subunit ribosomal RNA
Source: RNAcentral